UGACAAGGAUGCAGAACCUCUUGUGGGCUCU
RNAcentral lists this non-coding RNA (31 nucleotides) under Rattus norvegicus (Norway rat). The record is from RNAcentral. Lineage: Eukaryota; Metazoa; Chordata; Mammalia; Rodentia; Muridae.